AAGCUUACAUAUAUAUAAGUGGGAAGCUAGCACCUCCAGAGAUCAUACCAUUCGAGCUCUAUAGCUAGCUCCCUCAAAACUAGCUAGAUCUGUGUUAUACAUGUAUGAUAUGCAAACCAACACAGAGAAAGAGCUCACCAGCAGAAACAUGGAUGAGAAGGAUGAGAAGGCUGCAGUUACAAACUCAGAUGAGCCUGAAGUUAAGUACAGUGGGAUCAAAGCCAUGCCCUUUGUUAUAGGGAAUGAGACCUUUGAGAAGCUAGGAACACUGGGAACCUCAUCCAACCUGUUGGUCUAUCUCACCACAGUCUUCAACAUGAAAAGCAUCACAGCUACAAAUCUUGUCAAUAUCUUCAAUGGCACCAUCAACGUUGCUACCUUGCUAGGAGCCUUCCUAUGCGAUACAUAUUUCGGCCGUUACAAGACCUUGGGAUUUGCUUCUGUUUCUUCUUUUGUGGGAAUGCUGGUGCUAACUUUAACAGCUGCAGUUGCACAGCUACAUCCUCCACACUGUGUGCCAACAGGGCCAUGCAGUGGCCCAACACCAUGGCAAAUGGCAUUUCUGUUGAGUGGCCUAGGAUUACUAGUUGUUGGAGGUGGUGGGAUUAGACCCUGCAACUUAUCCUUUGGUGCAGACCAGUUUAAUCCCAAUAGUGAGUCAGGGAAGAGAGGUCUCAGUAGCUUCUUCAAUUGGUACUACUUCACCUUCACAUUUGCCAUGAUGGUUUCUUUGACAAUCAUCGUCUAUGUGCAAACUGAUGUGAGCUGGGCAUGGGGUCUGGCAAUUCCCACAUUUCUCAUGUUCUUGUCAUGCGCAAUGUUCUUUUUGGGUUCCAAAAUCUAUGUGAAAGUGAAACCAGAUGGUAGUCCAUUGACAAGUGCAGUGAGGGUUUUAGUCGCCGCAGCCAAGAAGAGGCGGUUGAAGUCACCGGAGCAACCGUGGUUGUCGCUUUACAAUCAUAUACCAACCAGCUCAAUCAACUCCAAGAUUCCCUACACUGAUCAACUCAAAGUCCUGGACAAAGCUGCCAUCAUCACCGAAGAAGACACAAUCAACUUGGACGGAUCGGUAACAAACCCUUGGAAACUCUGCACAAUGCAAGAAGUAGAACAAGUGAAAUGCCUUGUUAGAGUGAUCCCCGUAUGGCUUUCGUCCUUCAUAUUCUACAUUGCCAUGGUCCAAAUGCAAACCUCUGUAGUCUUCCAAGCAAUUCAAUCCAAUAGGCGCCUCAGCGGCACCAGUUUCGAUAUCCCUGCCGCGACGUACAUAGUCUUCUCAAUGGCGAGCCUCACACUCUGGAUACCCUUCUACGAUAGAGUCAUUGUACCGAAACUGCGAAAAGUUACAGGAAUAGAAGACGGUAUCACCCUGCUUCAAAAGAUGGCAGUUGGGAUGGUGCUUGCAUAGUAACAAUGCUGGUGUCUGCCUUAGUUGAAGUGAAGAGGAAAACUUGGCCUUGUCUAGUCCCAUAGGAAUGGACACUAGAACAGGUGCAAUAUCUUCCAUGUCUGCCUUUUGGCUCAUACCACAGUUAACCAUAAUAGGACUUGCAGAGGCAUUUACUAUUAUAUCUCAAGUGGAGUUCUACUACAAGCAAUUCCCAGAAAACAUGAGAAGUAUUGGUGCAGCUUUUUUGUUUGUGGGAUUUGCAGGGUCGAAUUACUUGAACAGUUUUUUGGUGUCGAUAGUUCACCAUACCACUAGUCGUAAUGGGUCAAUUGGGGACUGGUUGCCUGAGGAUCUUAACAAGGGGAAAUUGGAUUACUUUUACUACUUAGUUGCUGGAUUGGAGUUCAUAAAUUUGGUGUAUUUUGUGCUAGUCGCUAGGUGGUUCAAGUACAAAGGAAGUGGAGGCAGUGUGGCAUCUGAAGUUGGGUUGGAAAAUAUGCAAUCUGAGAACCAUCUUGUUUGAUAGCUUAGCCAAUUGUGAUAAAUGUAGAAAUGUCAUAUAUAAUAUGAAUAUGUCUUAGAUACAACGGUUCUACACUUCUACACAAUGCCGAAAGAUUUUAUAUACUUGCUACUGUAUAUACAAUAAAAAAAAUAUCAUAUUGCAUACAUGCAAUG
Fragaria vesca subsp. vesca is the source of this 2068-nucleotide RNA transcript. It is a transcript of the gene named probable peptide/nitrate transporter At5g62680-like, with no coding region annotated. NCBI's taxonomy places the organism in Eukaryota, Viridiplantae, Streptophyta, Magnoliopsida, Rosales, Rosaceae. The transcript has 4 exons. The record is from RefSeq and is a predicted model, not a curated record.